This 540-nucleotide ribosomal RNA is filed under the name Cohnella fermenti. RNAcentral's name for it is "bacterial SSU rRNA". It matches the Rfam family "Bacterial small subunit ribosomal RNA", at positions 1001 to 1533 of the family's 1533-position model. The record is from RNAcentral. Lineage: Bacteria; Bacillati; Bacillota; Bacilli; Caryophanales; Paenibacillaceae.
CAGAGAUGUGCCUUUCCUUCGGGACAGAGGAGACAGGUGGUGCAUGGUUGUCGUCAGCUCGUGUCGUGAGAUGUUGGGUUAAGUCCCGCAACGAGCGCAACCCUUGAAUUUAGUUGCCAGCGAGUAAAGUCGGGCACUCUAGAUUGACUGCCGGUGACAAACCGGAGGAAGGCGGGGAUGACGUCAAAUCAUCAUGCCCCUUAUGACCUGGGCUACACACGUACUACAAUGGCCGGUACAACGGGCUGUGAAGGAGCGAUCUGGAACGAAUCCUUUAAAGCCGGUCUCAGUUCGGAUUGCAGGCUGCAACUCGCCUGCAUGAAGUCGGAAUUGCUAGUAAUCGCGGAUCAGCAUGCCGCGGUGAAUACGUUCCCGGGUCUUGUACACACCGCCCGUCACACCACGAGAGUUUACAACACCCGAAGCCGGUGGGGUAACCGCAAGGAGCCAGCCGUCGAAGGUGGGGUAGAUGAUUGGGGUGAAGUCGUAACAAGGUAGCCGUAUCGGAAGGUGCGGCUGGAUCACCUCCUUUCUAAGGAG